RNAcentral lists this long non-coding RNA (6066 nucleotides) under Sus scrofa (pig). Its description in RNAcentral is "lncRNA (ENSSSCG00000046796.2)". The record is from RNAcentral. Lineage: Eukaryota; Metazoa; Chordata; Mammalia; Artiodactyla; Suidae.
UUUACUGCUACACUUUAAGUUCCCAGCACUAGUUAAGAGCUCAAUAAAUGCUUGUUGACCGCAUGGAUGUUUGCUUGUUAUUUUAAAAAUGAGGAUAAUUUUCCAAAAGUUUAGAUACUUUUGAGAAGUCAAAGGUAUCUAUUUAGCAACAAGGAACUUUGUAGGGUGACUUUGCAGGGCAUCCUCUGUGGGAAUAAAUGGGAGGUGAGGAUAGGAAUUCAUGAAGGUAGUUGCAACUCCCUCAACUAAGCUGGAUCAUGAAGGGAAGCAGAGGAUGGGGCAAUAGCUGGAGUUUUCCAUGAACUCAGCUGACACUUGGGCAUGUCAGAUGUUGCUGGGAAGGAGGCAGCAGAAGGUGUAAGAAGAAGGAGGAGGAGUUAACUGAUGGAAUCAGGAACUGAGGGCGAUUUUGGGAGGAAUCCAGGGCAAAGGUGAGGAGAUCAGGCACAGAGCAGGGAUCCCUUCUCACUGGAACAAAGGAAGGAGGGAAGGAGAGCAUAGAUUCUGGUGGGUUUGCAGGGUCAGUGGCAGGAGCUUGAAGCAAUUCCUAUUUGUGGCUUUGAUUUUCUUUUGAAGAGGGAGGUAAAGUGGCCAUUCAUAAAUGGGGGGUGGAGGGGGUGAUGCUUGGGGUUGGAGAUAUGAGGACAGUGGAGAAGAUUAUAAAGAAAUCAGUUUAUCUAAGGUCUUUGAAAUCUUCCUAGAUAAACCUUUCUUCCAGAUGAAAGUCAUUAAUUAAUUAAUUUACAGUGCAAGGUCUAUUUUCCCCCUAAAACGUUACCUACAAUUUCACAUUUAGAUGUAAAUCUAAGAUCUAAAGCUGAGACCCAUGCGAUCUCAAGAGGGAAGGUAUGAGUUGGAGGGAAAAAGGCAGAGUCUAAUCUCCUCAAGGAAUACAGAAUCACAAGGAAGCUUUCACUAUGGGAAGCUGCAAAAAUGCUGACAGAUCACAGUGAGAUGGGACUGUGCUGUGAGACAGUAAUUUGCUUAGUGUCCACCUGGGCUGCUGUUCUAACACCAGAGAAAUGUGAAAACUCAGGACUGGAGGGCUGCUUGCCUGACCCCAUAGCACAUGUCUCAGCUCUAUUAACAGCAUCACUAAAAGGCACUUACUAUUUCUGCUUAAAUAGAAUGAAGUAUUAUUAUUGACAAACAUGAUGUUGUUGAUCCAAGAGUGGGGUGUACAUUUGUAACUUGGAGAGAUUUUGCAUACUUACUCUUCUUAUUGGUAACACAGGUACACACUUGCAAGAAGGCUGUUAAGGAUAGUGAUAGAACUUUCUUUUUAUUGAAGAUCAACUAUUUAUGUUUAUAAAUGGGAAAAGUUGGUUAUGAUCUCCAUGACCACUGAAACCAUAAUUUUGACCUUAUGGCUAUUAUGUUAUGACCUAGAAGUUGCCAAAUGAGCUUGGUGUAGCCCUGGUGUAGAGAGGUCCCCUUAAAUGAUGAGAGGGAGGUGGAGCCAACAGGGACCAGGCCAUCUCCAUGUCAGUUACUGCAGCCUUUAGGGUUUAUGGUGACUUCUAAUUUUUAGAUAAAGGGUCCCAUUGUGCUGAACAAGUUGGCAAUACCUACUUUCAUGCCUGAGAGCAAAUAUUGAUAGAAUACAUAUGUUAGUAAUUUUCUAAAUGGUUUCUUGAAUUGAAGAAUAUAUUUAGAGUGUUUCUUUAACUGAAGAGUGCAGCAACAGAAUGACAAUGGAAGAGUGCCUCACAUCAUAGGUCUGGGUUAGUCGACGGGUAUUUCAGUGACUACUAAAUCUGCCUAAGUAACAGUUCACCUACCACCAAGUUGAGUGUUUUGACUUUUGAACAAGGUCUAUCCAAACUAUGGAUGAGCAGAAGAACAUAGAUUGGAUUUUGGAGCAGUUGAACCAUCCUAAAGGUCAUAGCUUGAGGUUGGAAGCUUUGGGGAGCCAGUAGUGAUAUCUGGAGAAGCUCCUCUCUGGAACCCAAAGGCUAUAUGUAUUUUUUAGAGACAGAAAGAUGGACAAUCUCAUGCAAUUAGGGUCAAGAAAGAAGAUGGAUUCUUGGGAAUGUCUGGGUCCAUGUUUGAGAAGGUGGCUGAUGGCAGUUGAAGAAUUUUAUGUGUUGAGUUAAUGACAGAUGUUCCUGAUAAAAACAGGAAGUUACUGACUUUAGCAUUAGCCAAAGCAGCCCUCCCUGAAGAAAGUAAGAGCUCCUGGGGCCAUUACUUUGUUAAUGAAGCCACAUCAGGGCCAAUAUAAGAGGCAGAUGUUUUAUCACAUACUGAAAAUAUUCCCUUGGCCCAGGUGGUGGUCCUUGUGCAGUCCCAUGCUGAGCUCUAGGCAAAUCUAUUUGAUUAAUGAUGAAGUGGAGAUAUCCCUAUGGUGUCUACCAUCAAUGAAGGUGGGGCAGUCUGUCAUUCAGAGGGUGUGGGAUUCAAUAGACAUUUUGGCAAUUUUUUAUAGUUAAGUCAUGUUUGCAUGCAGAACAGAGGUAGUUUUUCCUGACCUGUCAUAGGUCCCUCCACCUAGGUGGCAGCCCAGGCACAAGGAAUUCACUUUUAGGCAUGCCUCUUCCAUAGCAAGGAAGAGGGGAUGGGCACAGUGAAGCAGAGUGCCCUCGUCUUCAUGAGGAAUGUGCCAAGGCAGCCAGCUUGGCUCCCAGGGCCUCUCAGUGAUGGGAGUUAACUUAGUGAUCUUGCUGGAUUUGGCUUAUUUCUGAGCUCUCUGAAGUACACUCAUCUUUGGCUUUGCCAUCUGCAAUUUCUGUCUCCGGAAGGGAACAUCUCUCUUCUCUCCAGGAAGAAAUCUUGAUGCAUCAAAAAGAAAAAGCUUGGUGUCUUGGGCAUUUUUUUUCCCUGCAUAUGGUGAGCCAACAGAUUUUACAUAAUCUAUUUUCCCUAUAAUUCAUCCUCCAUUUCUUGAAUUCUCUGUGAACAUUCCCUUCUGCAGCUGACAGCUUCUGUUCUUUCUCUUCUGGUUUAUAAACUUUCUGAGUCAGACCCUUUAACAGAAUCUUAGUUUUUUGCUGAUGGAGAUCAUUAAGGAUCUUUACUGCCAGCUGCAAGAUUUUGCAUUUAUUUUCAACUAGAGAUUUUGCUGCAAGCAGUGAAAAAAAAGGGGGAAUCAUUUUCCAACUUUUUUCUUCCAGCUGAUGCCUUGCUGACACCUCAUUAUUUGGCUUGGAAUGUAAAUAGUUUCUGUUUUCUUCAACUCUUGUUAAUGUGGAUUUUGGUACCCAACUUUUCUGAUUUUUCAUCUUCUUACUGUGGUAAUCUUCCAACCUAAUCUUUACUUUUAAAAUGAUCCUGCUCAUUUCCUUCCCUGUGAUUUUUCUCCUCUGAUGCAAAGAUCAUGAUUAAGUUGUUUCAGCUGCAGAGCAUAUUCAUGGAGAACUUCAACUCCAUUAUUUUUCUAUGUCACAGUUCUUCCUGAGACUUGAUAUCUUAUCUGGUUUGCUCACUGAUCCCAGUGGGCAGGGCUGGGAGGGCAGAAGGGGACCAUAGCCUUCUCUAUACUCUGCCCCCCCUCCAACUCUCACCUCUUACUCUUCUCCUAGCUCCUGUCUUCCUCCUAUCUCUUUCCCUCACUCGUCUGUUUUCCUACAGCUUAAAUUCACAGAAGAUCUUGGUAUUUAGAUCUCUAGCAGAGCUGCUAACAACUUUAUGCACUUUUAUUGCUCUGGGUUUCACACUGUCUUCACUAUCUUCUCCAGAUCUUGUUCCCAGCUGCCAACUCAGAUUAUGCCCAAACCAGAAUCACUUUGAUUCAUGCAGGUCUCCACUGUCAUGUGACCAAGAAUGACCCUAAGAGGGGUGCUGACCAACAUCCAGGUGCAUUCUGGCUCCAGGUCUCUCCAAUCCCAAUUUUCUUCACUUCCCCAAAUGGCCUGGUGCAGAUCUGCUGUGCAGAUCUGCUCUCUGGACUGUGCAUGGCUAUAUCAUUGUAGAAUCUACUUCAUUAACUUGCUUUCACCUACAGUUUUAAUUUGCUGCUACUUGCAUUACCUUAAGUCUCCAAAAGUGCUCAAAUACUAGUUCUCAGGUGAUACCUUCCCUUUUCUUCUAGUGUAUGUGAGCUCUUGAGAUCCUAAUAGGAGAAUCUGUGGAGUCCAAAGGAAGAGACUUAGGAGCAUUUAGCACCAGACAUGUGUUUGUGUGGGUGGGUGGGGGGUUCUUCCCUUUAUGUGGCGUCUUUCCUUCUGCUGCAUCAUGUGCUCUGGGAGAGGUUAUUCCUUCUUCCAUCCCCUGAUUCCCUGUCUUCCUCGUGAGCAAAAUCAUAUGCAGAUGAGAGGUACAGGGCUCCUGGCAGGGGUAAACCCUGCGGUACUCCUUGCCCAAACAGAAUAAGGUUUGGUUGGCAUGACAUUCCAAUUUUUUCUCUCUUUCAACUUGUGAAACUCAAGUUGCUGUGAACAUGAAAAUGCUUUAGUGUACAUAUAUCACCCAACAGGACUUCAUAAAUCCACUUCUUAAGGCAGCUCUGUUUUCUGAACACUUCUAACCCCUCCCAGGAUAUAACUGAAUUAAAACAAUGUUAUAUAGUGGCUUUCUCAUACAAGGAAUGCAUUAUGCCAAUGAACUUGUUUAACCCAGGGUAAAAAUCAGGCAUGUAUAUGUGUGUGUGUGUGUGUGUGUGUGUGUGCGCGCGCGCGUGCGUGCGCACGCACAGGUGUGUUUUCUUUCUUAAUAGAUAAAUCAUUUGGUCUCAAAAUCUGAGCCCCCAUUUAAAAUUUUUAGGAGAUUACCUUUGCUCUCCACCGAUUUUUUUUUUAGGAGCAUUCCUUCCCCAUGGAACCCUGGUGCACUAAACACUUUUAUAGUGAUAUCUAAAAGAUCAAAACAAAAGAGUCUGUCCUCAAGUUCAUGGACAAGUCUGCUCAUCACUAGAGUCACUGGCUAAGAAAGUCAAUAUUUUCUGAAUUAAUAAAUAAUCAAGUUAUAUUAAAGAAAAAUUAUUUAGAGAUAUACUGAGUAUUAUGUAAUUAAAGACUCAGAAAUGAAAAUCCCAGCCAUCAGGCAGAGAGCCCAAACAACAGCAUAAGAUGCUCAAGCUCACACAACUACUCCAGAGGCUAGCUGAGCACAACUAAAAGAAUGCAACCAUCUCCUCCGUCCAUAUGGGGCUGGAUGCCUAGACACACAGCUGUAUUUAGUGUAGCCUAAACUAAAUGUUGGCGAGUGCUCCCUUUAUUGGCUGAUGGUCUUGCAGGUGGGAGGGUGUGGGCAUGGGUCUGGGCCAAGGGCAUGGGAUCAGGGCAGCUCUCACACUCUCAGCAGAAGUGGAAGUGUCCAUGGCAGCUAUCACUUUACCAUUGUUAGGAGAGCUGGUUCUGAAUGAAGGAUAUGAAAAUCCCUGUGGUCAGACCCCUGUUUGAGUGUUACUGGUUAUGGGAACUUGAAUAAAAUGAAGCUCUUUAGGCUUCAUUUUUAUAGGUGAGGACAAUUAAAUAGCUAAUGAGCAUAGAGCUGGCACAUAGAAAGCACUCAGUAAAAUGGAAAUAUGAUGCUCAUUCUCAUAUGCACAGUUCUCGUCACCAUUUGUAUUUACCUCUUGCACUUAUUUGUAUACUUUCCACUUGUUUCCACCACUAGAAUGCAAGAUUGAGGACCAUGGUUUCACAUCCCUGUGUUGUCUCUUGUCCCCCUUGAUUAUAUGAUCUGGACAAAUGUCAUUUUCUAGGUUUAUGGGAACAGCUUUGAAAACAUGGUCUUGAAUCCCCUUCUGACCCCUUUUUAAACAUCCAUAUCCACCAUGCUAUUGACUUUGCAGAGUAUGGAUUUGGUAUACUUGCCACUCUGCUACGAUGAACAGUCUUUACCUAGAGAUGUGCCAUCUUUGCAAUUCCUUUUUGAAAGAUGAUAAUAAUAGAGUUCCCUCAGUGGUUAAUGAACCCAACUAGCAACCAUGAGGACGUGGGUUCAAUCCCUGGCCUCUCUAAGUGGGUUAAGGAUCCGGCAUUGCUGUGAGCUGUGGUGUAGGUCGCAGACGCGGCUCAGAUUCCUCAUUGCUGUGGCUGUGCUGUAAGCUGGCAGCUACAGCUCUGAUUGGACCCCUAGCCUGGGAACUGCUAUAUGCUGCAGGUGCAGCCCUAAAAAGACAAA